AUGGCCGUCCAGCCCCCCAACCCGGCUUCUCCUGUUCCCCUCGUCCGGGCAGCCAAUCUCGGCGGCUGGCUCGUCACAGAGGGCUGGAUCCUGCCCUCCCUCUUCGACGGCAUCCCUAACAACGAUCUGCGGGAUGACACGCAGCUGCAGUUCAGGUCCGUCACGCAGAAUGCGUUCAUAGCCGCCGAGAAUGGCGGCGGGGCGGCAUUGGUCGCCAACCGGGCCUCGGCCUUCGGCUGGGAGUCCUUCAAGCUCGGGCGAAUCGACACGAACACGUUCAACUUCAAGGUGUUCAAUGACCAAUUCGUUACCAUCGCCGGUGUUAACGCGGUGGCCACGGCCGCCAUGGCCGGGAAGACAGAGAUGUUCCAGCUACUGCGCAACGACGUUGACAAAAAUAGGAUGAGGAUCAGAGCACCGAAUGGGUCCUUCUUGCAGGCAAAUAAAGAUGGUUCGAUGACGGCAAACUUUGGCGAGAGCACGACCUGGGGAGACGAUGAUCCGUCUGUGUUUGUAGUGACUAUAGUCAAUUGGGUGCCCUCCAUCUUCGAUGGCAUCCCCAACAAAGAUCUCCUGGAUGGCACACAGCUGCAGUUCAAGUCCGUGACGCAGAACGCGUUCGUGGCUGCCGAGAAUGGCGGCGGCGCAGCGUUGGUCGCCAACCGUCCCUCGGCUUCCGGCUGGGAGAGCUUCAAGCUCUGGCGGAUCAACCACAACACCUUCAACUUCAAGGUGUCCAACAACCAGUUUGUGACCGUCUCCGGUGUUAACGUGGUGGCCACGGCCUCCGCGCCGGGGCAGACUGAGACGUUUCAGCUAGUGCGCAGCUACGGCGACAAGAAUAGAAUGAGGAUCAGAGCAUCAAAUGGGUCCUUCUUGCAGGCAAAUAAAGAUGGCUCGGUGACGGCCAACUUCGGCGAGAGCACGACCUGGGGAGACAAUGAUCCGUCCGUGUUUGCAGUGAACAUAGUCAACGGGCCACAAGGGGAGUACCAGAUUUGCAAUGGCUACGGCAAAGAUAUGGCUACACAAGUCAUGAAUAACCACUGGAGCACAUAUAUCGUGGAAACCGAUUUCGCGUUCAUGGCAGCAAACAGUCUGAACGCGGUGAGGAUCCCUGUGGGAUGGUGGAUCGCCAGCGACCCCAACCCUCCAGCUCCAUUCGUGGGAGGCUCUCUCCAAGCAUUGGACAUCGCGUUCACAUGGGCAGAGAGGCACAACAUUCACGUGAUAAUAGACUUGCAUGCCGCACCUGGGUCGCAGAACCCCGACGCGCAUAGCGGUGGUAGGGAUGGCUCGCAGACAUGGGGAGACUCCCAAAUCGUGCAAACUGUGCAAGUCAUUGAUUUCCUCGCCGCAAGGUACGCCAAGAGAUCAAGGCUCCUGGCCGUGGAGUUGAUGAAUGAGCCGGUUGCUCCCGGCGUGUCCUUAGAUAGCCUGAAAACAUACUACCAACAAGGCUACAAUGCCGUUAGGAGGCACUCACUUACAGCCUAUGUGAUCAUGUCCAACCGUCUUUCAGGAUUUUCGUUGGAGCUCCUCGACUUUGCCUCACAGUUCGACAGGGUCGUCCUCGACAUGCACUACUAUGCGUUGUUCGAUAAAAAGUUUGAUAGUUUCACUGUGCAGGAUAACAUUGAUUAUUUCAACAACUUCAUCGCCAGUGAAAUCAACGCUAUAAAUAGGCCAGAUGGCCCUCUCACAUUUGUUGGUGAAUGGGUGGCUGAGUGGCAGGUAAAGGAUGCAACAAAAGAGGACUUCCAACGGUUUGCAAAUGCGCAGAUGGCUGUGUAUCGGAAAGCCACAUUUGGAUGGGCUUACUGGACCUACAAGAAUGUUAACAACCACUGGAGCAUGCAGUGGAUGAUGGACCCCUACAUCUCCUUAGGAAAUGCUUGA
RNAcentral lists this ribosomal RNA (1899 nucleotides) under Triticum aestivum (bread wheat). RNAcentral's name for it is "partial small subunit ribosomal RNA". Lineage: Eukaryota; Viridiplantae; Streptophyta; Magnoliopsida; Poales; Poaceae. The record is from RNAcentral.